Molecule: long non-coding RNA, 4716 nt
Organism: Acinonyx jubatus (cheetah)
Lineage: Eukaryota; Metazoa; Chordata; Mammalia; Carnivora; Felidae
Exons: 4
Source: RefSeq, a predicted model, not a curated record
GCGGGAGUUUGCUCGCGGUGGUCACGUGUCGGCGGGGGGUUGGGGGGACGCGUCUGAGGCGCGGGUGUCGCGCGGGUCUGUGCUGUCGGGUGAAGUGGCUCUGCCAGGCGCUCUGGACCGCACGGUCAGGCAGUGAGCGUGACCGGGGCACGGGGUGUUCCGUGCGAGGCGCCGCGGGACUGCGAAGAGACAGGCGGCGGUCGGGAAACGUGAGUGGAUUUGGGCUGCCCGGCGCCGCCUCCCGUCCCCAGAGCGCUGGCCCAGGCGACCCUGCUCUGAUGGCGGCGACGUCCGUCCCUGGCCGCUCAGGGCAGGGAGGCCUGGGACUGCGGAGCGCGGAGCACCGGCCUCGGUUGUGGAUGAGAAAAAAAAAAAAACCAAAAAAACGGAUCUACUUGGACACCCGGCUCGUAUUUGCUUCCCGCAGCGGGUGCCCCGGAGGCGAAGUAACUUGCUUAAAAUCGGGCCACUGGUGAGGACCAACGAAGAGGCGGUGCGCAGACGCGAUGUUACAUUGCGCAACUAACGCAUCCGUCCCUGCGCUCUUGUCGGAAUACUACCGCGUAGCCCUCCCAAGUGCUUCGGUGCAGGGCUUCGUGUAGUGGGGAAUUAGGUUACGCCGCACGGAGCAGCGCGUCUGUCCCUGCCUCUUGGGGGUCACGAGACUUGUCAGCCGCGGACACCCCGGGAGUCACUCGCGAGAAUUAACUAUUUAGGAAGCUUGCUUCAGAAAAGGAACAUUCCUAGAGCGAUGGUUCUUAACCUUUUCGGUGGGGGAGGGGUUUAUGGCUGUUGAGCAUUUGAAAACCUAAACUUUUUGCAGUACAGCUCCUUCUGGGUGAUACAUGACUUAUCAGAGCUAUCCGUUUGGUUAGUGCCGGAACCCAGGUCUCACUUCAGCCUGACGUCCCAUUCCACAAGCCCUUUCAACAACCGUUGAACACCUGCCUGUGCUGGGGACUCCACAGAUGUUUGGUGCCGAGCCAAGUGGCCACUCAUGUCUGCCGUCUGUCCCAGAGAGCAUCCAAGCGGGAGAGAGGAGCAGAGAGAGAGAGAGAAUCCCAAGCAGGCUCCACUCUUCACAGAGCCUUCCAUGGGGCUUGAUCUCAUGACCCCAAGAUCAUGACCUGAGCUGAAAUCAAGAGCCUGAUGCUCAACCGACCAAGCCGCCCAGGUGCUCUUUAAAUCUAGAAAUGACCUCUUAAAAUCUAGAAAUGUACUUGUACUUUUGUCUUUUAUUUUGGGCCAUUUGUCGAAGAGAAUUUGUGCCCCGUCCUGGAGUAUCUUUUAUCUAAAGAAAAAGGGAAAAAAAGGUUAGAACAAACUGGUAGGGAGCAGGCAGUGCCGAAAAGAAUAUCACGUGCUGCUUUCCUCAUCCCAUUCUUCGGUUCCCAAGGAGGGUGACUGAGUAUUGAUAAAACGAUAUCCACGGUCAGGAGGAGGUAGGUGCUAAAGGCAGCAGAAUGAAGAAUUUGGGGUCGUUAUUCCCAGACCAUAGAGCAUGGAAUUCUUAAAUGAUUGUGCCCCCAAACGCCAUAGUUCUUAGAAGAUAUGCAUUUCCCCGGACUCAUCUGAGGUCCAGAAAUCCACAGGGUGAUGUGUCUCCAACAGACACUCCCCAAGAGCCUUGUUUCCUCCCAUGCUGCUUCUUGCCUGAACUUGAAGCUACUGGGAGCCCUCCUCCUUUAGUUGUUGGGAAGGCAGAGGCUAUCCAAAGUGAGAGAGGAAAGGGAGAUGAAUAAAAUCCGGAGACGAAGAACGUGAGCUCUGGCAUUAAUUGCCCCUUGAUUCCCGAGCAGGCUGCUUGCCAGCUGGAUGGCCUUGGACAAACUAUUGAACUCUUGGACAAGAGCUCACUCAGUUUCCUCAUCUGUAAAUUGAAGGUAGUAAUAAUACCUUCAUUAAGUUGUAAGGAUUGAAUGGGAAUAUUAAAGGUUUUAAAUUGUUUUUUUCUUUCUUUUUUAAAUGCUUAUUUUACUCUUGAAAGAGAGAGGGUAUGUGGGUGCAAGUGGGGGAGGGGCAGAGGGAGACAAAGGAUCUGAAGCAGGUUCUGCUCUGACAGCAGAGAGCCCAGUGUAAGGAUUGAGCUCAUCGUGAGAUCAUGACCUUUGCCGAAGUUGGACGCUUAACUGACUGACCCAUCCAGACACCCCUAAAUUAUUUUUUCUAACGGGAUUCUUGUUUUAAAAGAUUUUAGUUACAAAACAAUAGUUUCCUUUUACUAAUCAAAAAUGUACCAUUCAGAGGUUUUGGCUUCCACACCAUAACUAAUGUAAUUCACCGGGUUCUUAACGAUUCGAGCUAAAAGCAAAGAACUGUGAUGUUUUAACUCGAGUAGUUUUAUUGUUAGAUUUAUGAUUUCCAGUAGGCUUUUGGAACGUUGCCCAAGGGCCGGAGACUCCCUAUCCCCCUUUAUAGAUUCUAGACUAGAUCUUUCAAUGUCGACACGUUUGGUUUCGUAACAAAAAAAUAUCAAUGAUUAAGCUGGGAUUUAGCUGGAUUCUCAAGACUUUGAGCAGUGCCUGACUUGCUUCGUCCCAGAGAUUCCACUCCAUCGGGUGCUCCCAACAUGUCAUAGCUUUUGUGUUUUUCACAUUUCAGACAUCAGUACAAAAGGAUUAAGACAAACUGCUACGUCUUGUACAGCUGUUACUUAUUUUCUCGUGAGGCUUUACGGUCUCUGAAAAAGCAGUAGCGGUAUUUAGCAGGUUUAAAAAAAUGCUCAAAAUACCGUGGAUUGUAUAGAGUAGCCUAUCGUAUCAUGUUUCUGGGAACAAAAUUUUGCCAACAAGAAUUAAAAGAAUGAAAGAAAACCGUCAGGAGAUAUCAUGGCCCAAUGAUGGCAGAGGCAAAAAUUGUUCUGGGCUCUGAAGCGGGAGAGAUCCCCGCAGAGGGCGUGAUGAAGGACGCAUUCCCAGCACUGUGGCUGAGUGGCCUCCAAGGUGAGUGGGUUUUGUGUACGUGGAAAGGGGGCAGAGGUGGCGACGGAACGGUGAAGUGACUAAGGUGCACGAGUCUUCAAGACAAAGCCAGAGAGAGGCCGCACGAGAGUGCAUCCGCCACGUCUUUGCAGAGAUCCGGCUUGCUUCCAUUCCCCGCCAUGUCUAACGUGUUUGGAAUAAGACGCUUUUCUCCUUUCUGGUCGCUGGUGCCUCCGAGUGAUCAACAGUGUCGAGGUUUGCUGAGCGCAGGCGCUUUUCUAGAUGCAGCCGAGGAUGGUGCCUGGCCUGCCUCUGAGGGCUCUUCGGAAUAACGUAAUGCAAACGUGGUAUCUGUGAGACUUGUCCUCAACCAGCCCACAGUCUUCCUGCACCUGGUCUGUCGUGGCGCCUCCAAGUUGACGUGCUUGGAUCCUUCGUCUGGUUUUGUGGCUCGCCCUCUCUCAUUCUUGGCCUUCUUUCUGCCUGCCCACCUGCCACCCCUGCCACAUACUUUUUCUCCGAGUCUGUGGCUUUCGGGGACUCUUCUGGUAAGGAGGAGGAGAGGGAUAGAUGCAUACGUGUUUAGCAGUGAACAAAUAAAUGCCUGCACGUGAUGUAACUGCCAUGUGACCUAAGGUCGCAUCACGUGGCGUAUAGUACUUGAAACAAGGGAGGUGGUCUCUUCUGACUCUUGAGUAGGCACGAGGCGAGGCGGCAUAGAGGGUAGAGGUUAAGAAUGCAGGGCUCUCGAGACAGCUGCCUACAUUUCAGUACCAGCUUUCAUUUUCUAACUUGGUGGCCUUGAGCAACAUACUUAACUUCCAUGUCUGUUUCCUCAUUUCCAAUAUGGGGAAUAAUAAUAGUAAUCUUAUCUAAUGGCGUUGUUGGCAUUAAAUUGAAGUUCUGUAAUCGAAGUGCUUAGAAGGGAGCCUGGCACAUAAGUACUCCAUAGAAGUUGGUUUUUACAGUUGUCGGUUCCGGGAAGCAUUCUUUAAAGAAGCGUGCAGACGCAGUGUGGCAGACUUCGAGGAUGUGACUGUGGGGGUGAGGGGACAGGCCAUGCGCUCUAAGUGAAGGCCGCAGGAAUCAGGGAGGCCGAGACUAGAAAAGAAAACUCAAGAGGAUGUACGGUUUUUUUCAGAGAUCUGUGGACGUCUCCUCUUGUGUUUGUCAUCUGUCACAGUGUGUAUGGCCCCAAAGUGAUGGCCUUUGUAAUAGUCUUGGAGGAGGUGAAGGAGGCAGGGGGGAUAGGGGUGACAGGUGUAUUUCCAUGAUCACGUCAGAGUCCAGAUUCCAGUUCUGUCCUCACCACGUUUGACCUGCAGCUUUACUCACAUCUUUGGUAGCUCAGUUUAUUGAUCUGUAAAGUGGAAAUAAUAAUAAUGACUUGUGCUGUUUUGAUGGAAAGAGGUGACAGGGAUGCUAGCGGUUUGUAGUGGGACAGAAGGGUACCUGCAGGUGUCCGAGAUCUGGCCCUCAGCCUGGCAGGUGUACGCUUCUGUUAGUAACUUGCCCACAGGCGAUUUUGGCGACAGACUGAUGCUAAUUUCUCUCUUCCAGCGCUGGAGUAGUGGCCCCCAAAAGAUGUACCCAUGGUCCUCGUUUCCAAAUAAAGUAGCAUUUACAAAUCCCUGGGAUUAAGACUUGCUGUCUUGGGGUGCCUGGGUGUGGCUCAGUCGGUUAAGCGCCCGACUUCGGCUCAGGUCACGAUCGCACAGUUCGUGGGUUCGAGCCCCGCGUCGGGCUCUGUGCUGACAGCUCGGAGCCUGGAGCCUGCCUUGGAUUCUGUGUCUCC